UUUGAGUGAGUAAUGCCUACUCACAUCCUGUGGAUACAGGAUAUUUGCAACAUUAUAAUUUAGAGCAAUUCCUGAUUAUAUAGGCAGCUGUGACCUAAAGAGACUAAGUAGGUUGCCCAUAUGUCACACAGUGGUAGAACCUGGGACUUCUGAUUGGGUUUAUUGAAGUCACCAUUUUAUUAUGCUAUUUAUAAAAAGUAAUGUGGAUUAUAUAUGAUUUGAACGUUUUUAGUCCUAUAGUCUGAGCCAAACACAUCAACUGGCUUGCCUAUUUAGCAUUUAUUUUAUAAGAAUGGAAUUAAAAUGGAUUUCUUCAUGUUUAGAAUUUGGUCCUGGGAACAGAGGAAGCCCUGAAUUGAUUUAAGCAGGGCCAAAGUUGGAUUUCUCUGGGCUAGAUUUGGACUUACUUGAGCCAAAAUCUAUUGCCACUUAAUAGGCUCUACAAACCAACUGAACAUAACAGUUUCAGGUGUACAAAUAAUGAUUCAGCAGUUCUACACGUUACUCAGUGCUCUUCAUGAUAAUAGAGACAGUGAAUUUGAAUAAAAAGCUGCUCCCUUCUCAAUCUACUUGUAUUAAGAUCUUUUCAAGGUACAAUGGAUUUUCAAGAUUUAGAGCCCAUUUAUCUGCUUGAACAGUUGGAUACAAAUAGUUUUAUUACUGAGUGCUUUAAAAUGGACGUUUCUCUCUGGUACCUCAAAGAAAGACCUUAAGAUUGCCAAACUUUCCUGGCUUCACCCACUAAAAUAGAACAUGUGCUACGGGUAUUAGAACUAUAGCUCUAUGAAUAUAAUACUACAAAAAAGUAAAAUUAAUAAUAACCAAUAAAUAUGUGUUCACUCUACCA
This 847-nucleotide long non-coding RNA is filed under the name Felis catus (domestic cat). Its description in RNAcentral is "lncRNA (ENSFCAG00000051542.1)". The record is from RNAcentral. Lineage: Eukaryota; Metazoa; Chordata; Mammalia; Carnivora; Felidae.